AGGGCAGGCAUGGCCAAACUUGGCCCUCCAGCUGUUUUGGGACUACAAUUCCCAUCAUCCCUGACCACUGGUCCUGUUAGCUAGGGAUGAUGGGAGUUGUAGUCCCAAAACAGCUGGAGGGCCAAGUUUGGCCAUGCCUGCCUU
Podarcis lilfordi (Lilford's wall lizard) is the source of this 144-nucleotide non-coding RNA. The record is from the annotation of a GenBank genome assembly. Lineage: Eukaryota; Metazoa; Chordata; Lepidosauria; Squamata; Lacertidae.